This 277-nucleotide ribosomal RNA is filed under the name uncultured soil bacterium. RNAcentral's name for it is "partial 16S ribosomal RNA". It matches the Rfam family "Bacterial small subunit ribosomal RNA", at positions 26 to 290 of the family's 1533-position model. The record is from RNAcentral.
AGAAUCAACGCUGGCGGCGUGCCUAACACAUGCAAGUCGUACGCGAAAGGGGAGCAAUCCCUGAGUAGAGUGGCAAACGGGUGAGUAACACGUGGGUGACCUGCCUCAGAGUGGGGGAUAACGUCCCGAAAGGGACGCUAAUACCGCAUAACAUCCUGCCCUUGGAAGGGUGGAGAUCAAAGCCGGGGAUCGCAAGACCUGGCGCUUGGAGAGGGGCCCGCGUCUGAUUAGCUAGUUGGUAGGGUAAUGGCCUACCAAGGCGACGAUCAGUAUCCGG